CGAGAUUGAGAUGCCAUGAGUUCUGUCACAUCUCGUCUUUGAGCUUGAUAUUGUCUUGAGCUUGUCACAAUAGUGAUUUGUGAUGUCUUCAUAGAUCUGUGCUUAGCUUUUGUUUUAUGGAUGUAGCGGAGCUAAUCUAACUUAGUUAUAAAGUCUGGGUCUCUUGGAUGGUGGAGUUUCUAGCAAUGGCAGUCAUACUACCUGUAUGCUUCCUUAGAUUUUUGUUAGGUGAGAUGAAUAGUUUGAUUCAUAUUUGGACUCUUGAAUAUUGAUUUCUG
Molecule: long non-coding RNA, 278 nt
Filed under: Manihot esculenta (cassava)
Lineage: Eukaryota; Viridiplantae; Streptophyta; Magnoliopsida; Malpighiales; Euphorbiaceae
Description: long non-coding RNA (MESC_LNC006776)
Source: RNAcentral